Salvelinus sp. IW2-2015 is the source of this 2841-nucleotide non-coding RNA. The record is from RefSeq and is a predicted model, not a curated record. NCBI's taxonomy places the organism in Eukaryota, Metazoa, Chordata, Actinopteri, Salmoniformes, Salmonidae.
AUAAGAAAUGCCUUCAGUCUGAGUGAUAAGGGGACCAUAUAAAAAAAUCGAUGCGUGAUGAAAACUUCCCUUUUCCUCGACAGACCAGGACCCUCUAACACACCCCAAUUAACCUGGCUCUGAUGAUUUAGACUAUGAUGAUGCCCCUGAGAUGGACCCCCUGACACACCCCAAUCAACCUGGCUCUGAUGAUUUAGACUGUGAUGAUGCCCCUGAGAUGAACGAAGAAAGGAUUUACCCUGGGGCAUCAGUAACAAAGGGGCAAUGCCUUAUGGCAAUAAUGAUUUUUGUUCUGCGUCAUCACCUGACUGGAACUGCCCUGAUAGACCUACUUGCCUUGCUGAAUUUGUUUGUCCCCAACAUCUAAAUAUCUCCAAAAAGUUUUUGGGUAAUCCAGCCCUGACAGCUGUCUCUCAUUUAUUUUGUGAUGAAUGCCAGAAUUACUUAGGAAAGCAACCCGAAGACACAAAUUGCUCACAUUGUGGAACGUCCAUCAGAGAAAUCAAAUCAAAUGUAUUUAUAUAGCCCUUCUUACAUCAGCUGAUAUCUCAAAGUGCUGUACAGAAACCCAGCCUAAAACCCCAAACAGCAAGCAAUGCAGGUGUAGAAGCAAAACAUUUCUUUUUGUCAAUACCUUUUGAGGGACCUUCUGUGAGAUACACUGGAGAACCAUGGAAUAGAUAUUUUGAGGAAAACAGUGAAGGAAGAAGAAUAUGAAAUCGAGGAUGUCAUGGAUGGAUGUACCAGACAUUACUGAAAGAAAAGAGGCUACCUGCUGAUGAUUUAACAUUAACCUGGAACUGUGAUGAGUACCCAUUUUUAACUCCUCAAAUGACUCAGUUUGGCCUCUUCAAUUUACCAUAAAUGAACUGCCUUACAUACACUGGAAAGAAAGUGUGAUAGUUGCAGGACUUUGGUUUGACCCAGAAAACCCCAGAAUGGACACAUUUUUUAAAACCUUUUAUUGAUGAAUGUUGCGAUUUAGCCCAAAACCCCUUACUUUGGAGAGAUAAGAGUGGGACUCUGAAGAGGACAAAGGUCUUCUCCUUGAUUUGUUCCUUAGAUGCAAUUGCCAGGCCAAUCCUUCAUUACUGUAAGCAAUUCAAUGGUAAAUAUGGAUGUGACUGGUGCUUGCACCCCGGUAAAGUUGUCCCCAAAGGCAGAGGAUAUGUAAGGUCCUAUCCUUACAGUCAACAACUGCAAAUUCAAAGAUCACACAAUCAAUUUAAGGAUAAUGCGUUUCACUCUGCUCGCACUGACAUUCCGCAAAAUGGUGUAAAGCGGUUGUCAACACUGUUUUUGCUUCCAUUGUUCAACAUUGUGUUUGGUUUUGUGCCUGACUACAUGCAUUCUGUUCUCCUCGGCAUAACUCGACMACUUCUGUCUCUUUGGUUGGACACGUGCAACUGUUUGAAUCCAUUGUACAUAGGUCGACAAAUUGCAGAAUCAGACUCUCGACUGCUAAAUCUCUUGCCAACAAAGGAAAUCACAAGAAUACCGCGAUCACUGCAUAUAAGAACAUUUUGGAAAGCAUCGGUGUGUUGUGCAUUUCUUCUGUUUUAUUCAAUCAUUGUUCUGCCUGGCAUCCUUCCGGUCCCCCAAAAAAUUAUACUUACAUUCAGCAUGCAUAUUUUGCUUCAAGGAUCUAUUUGACAGCGUGGCCUUAGAUUAGCUCACAUUUCUUUAGACCUCUUAGUCAAGAAAAUGGAAGAAUUAUAUGGACAAGAAAAUGUUUCUUUCAAUUGUCAUCAGCUAAUCCACCUUACUGAUAGUGUACUGAACUGGGGGCCUCUCUGGGAAACGUCAUCUUUUACAUUUGAGGGUAACAAUGGAAGUUUGAAAUCUCUUUUCCAUGGGACGCAGUGUGUUCCACAACAAAUUUGCCAGCUUUUCCUUCUUUGGCGAGACAUUCCCAAACGUCUUAGUGUUUUAGGAUUUCACCCAGAGUCAGUGUUCGGUAUAUUCCUUUCAAAGCUUGGAGACAAAAAACUCUAAACUCUUGGCAAAUCUGUACCUCGUCACCUCACAGCUUCUGUAAAACUUGCUGUAGAAGAACUACCCAGCCUGUGGAGUCAUACGGCCGAUUCGUUUAUGACCAGAUUGUUUAUCACACAACUAACUACAAAAUCUCAGAAAAAAAGUAUAAUACCUCAUUCGUGUUCAAAAAGGAAUGUUGUGCACAACUGCAGUUAUUUUUCAUUGUUAGACUGAAUUGCAUUUGUCAAACAAACUGUUUAUGUCAACCUAUUCCCAUUGUUGUGGUUAACCAUAUGUAUUUCAAGCUGACAGUUUGUUCAUCAACCGCAAUCUAGGCAUCUCAUCCCAAAAAAUGUGUGUGAAAGUUGAGAGGUCGAGACAAAAAAAGCUUUUUCUUUGGAAAUUAUCAAGUGUAAAUGUAUUUAUGUGGAUGGCUGGCUUGUCCCUCUGAGAGAGAUUAGUUAUGGGUGUAUUUAGAGAGCUGGUUGAUGUUAUUGAGCUGAUUGAUGAGAGCUGAUUCUCAUUUGCAAUGGUGACCUGGCCAAGAAAAGCAUCAACAUCAUUUAAUUCAGGUCCGUCCAGUGUGAGGAUAUGUUAGGGAAGUGCAGAUUGAAGUUAAAACGCAUGCAUUUAGUUUCACUGGAAUUGAGCAAUAGUUGGAGUCUUGGAGAUCACAGAAUGUGUGUUAUAUGUCAUUGAAUCUGUGUGAUUCUAAUAGUAUUACCCAUUGAUAACUUAUCAGGGACAUACAUCAGUGAUGCAAGGGUCAUCGCUUAUAUAUUGUAUUGUACAUGUUUUUUUUUUUUAUUAAAAUAAAUUAACAUUAAUAUUACAGGUCUGUUUUUACUAAGAUGCUAAAUGUUU